This 497-nucleotide ribosomal RNA is filed under the name uncultured bacterium. RNAcentral's name for it is "partial 16S ribosomal RNA". It matches the Rfam family "Bacterial small subunit ribosomal RNA", at positions 28 to 507 of the family's 1533-position model. The record is from RNAcentral.
GAUGAACGCUGGCGGCGUGCCUAAUACAUGCAAGUCGAGCGAACGGACGAGAAGCUUGCUUCUCUGAUGUUAGCGGCGGACGGGUGAGUAACACGUGGAUAACCUACCUAUAAGACUGGGAUAACUUCGGGAAACAGGAGCUAAUACCGGAUAAUAUUUUGAACCGCAUGGUUCAAAAGUGAAAGACGGUCUUGCUGUCACUUAUAGAUGGAUCCGCGCUGCAUUAGCUAGUUGGUAAGGUAACGGCUUACCAAGGCAACGAUGCAUAGCCGACCUGAGAGGGUGAUCGGCCAAACUGGAACUGAGACACGGUCCAGACUCCUACGGGAGGCAGCAGUAGGGAAUCUUCCGCAAUGGGCGAAAGCCUGACGGAGCAACGCCGCGUGAGUGAUGAAGGUCUUCGGAUCGUAAAACUCUGUUAUUAGGGAAGAACAUAUGUGUAAGUAACUGUGCACAUCUUGACGGUACCUAAUCAGAAAGCCACGGCUAACUACGUG